UUGGCUCGCCACAAGCAUUAAAUGACAGAAGAAGUAGAAGUGGUUAAGUUUUUAAGUAGGCUAAGUUAUGUCCUAAAUAGUGUCCCUUUUUCAAAUAUAUAAGAUGUACACAAUUGUAUCAUCCUUUGGGAACAAUCAACCAGUGAAGUUCCCUGACAGUGAGCAGUCUAUGCGACAUUACAUCACUAAAAUGGGGACUCAAAGGAGGACUACUGGACGUAGAGAGGCAUUUGGGAUAGACCCCAUAUUUGCAUUGGCCAGACAUGACAUCAUAACGACUGGUUGGCAGGUGUGUAUGUGUGUGUGUUAAGCAACACAUGGAUGGUGACCAGACCCUUUGAUUGUGUCCUGCUGGCUAACACACAGAUUCUCGGACAUGCUCGCACACUCUCUGAUCUGUAUGGCGGUUUAGAAGAGGACAGAUGAUUAUCCGCUGACCCCUGUGGACAGUCAUUUGACUCUUAAUGGAGAUCUCCCUGCUGAACGAUCCUGCAUUGCUGGUCACAGCAUAAUAUUUGUUUUGCACACUAGGACCAGUAUGGGAUGCUGGAUGCUGGUUUGCUGGUCCCCAGCAUGGGAAGCAGGUGUUCUGGUGGACCACCAUACCUUCUACUAUGUAGUCCUUUUAGAAUCAGUGACCGAGAGUUGGAUUUUUUACACAUGAGUUCUCAAACUAGCAUUACAGUCUUUAAAAACAGCGAUUUUCAAUUUUGAACUUUCAUUAUGAAAACUCUUUAUUAGCAAUAGCACUUCUCAUAACCCCCUGUUAUUGAACUAACAGUUUCUGAGCAUGCUGUUAUUUGAAUUUUUUGUGUUUUCAUACCUCUGAAGAUUUUAGUUUUAGUUGUACACAAGAGCUUUUAACUGAUUUGUGCACAGAUCCUUAGAAACGGAACACAAAUCUUUUGAAACAUUUGACUAGUUUGUGUUUUUACUUUUUUGUUCAAAACUAAAGAUAACAUUGAUUAAUAAUAUAAUUAUCAUUACUAAAACAAUUACAAUUUUCAGUUCUACUGUCAACAGAGGGAGCUAAAGUGAGCUAAUAUAACUUAUUUUAAUGAGAUAAUAAACUUAUUAGCUGACGGAAUUCAUGCUGGUUUAUGCUGGAUUUUUCAGCAGGGCUGUAUGACUAAAUUCCGCAAAUGAAGCUGUAAAAGGUUUUUAGAUUUCAAAACAGCAUUUUCAAGAAUUCUGUUUUGAGAUUAAAUAACAGAGAAUAACCAUUUCAAAAUACAGACACUUGUCUUUAUACCUUAUAGUGUGUGGUUUGGUAAUCAAUAACUUAAAAUGCACCAAGAAAUUAAAUAAAAUAAAUCCUU
Cyprinus carpio (common carp) is the source of this 1319-nucleotide long non-coding RNA. RefSeq lists it as uncharacterized. The record is from RefSeq and is a predicted model, not a curated record. NCBI's taxonomy places the organism in Eukaryota, Metazoa, Chordata, Actinopteri, Cypriniformes, Cyprinidae. The transcript has 4 exons.